RNAcentral lists this ribosomal RNA (1573 nucleotides) under Mantidactylus bellyi. RNAcentral's name for it is "16S rRNA". It matches the Rfam family "Bacterial large subunit ribosomal RNA". Lineage: Eukaryota; Metazoa; Chordata; Amphibia; Anura; Mantellidae. The record is from RNAcentral.
GCCCUAAAUCUAGCCUAACACACCUUUUAUGUUUCCAUUAAUUUAUAAAGAUACAAUAAAACAUUUUAAUUAUAUAGUAGAGGAGAUCAAAAAAUAUAUUAACGCCACAGAUUAUGUACCGCAAGGGAAAGAUGAAAUAAAAAUGAAAUAGUUUUAAAGCACUAAACAGUAGAGCUUUUUACUCGUACCUUUUGCAUCAUGGUCUAGCAAGUCUAAUCAAGCAAAAUGAAUUUUAGUCUGAACCCCCGAAACUAAGUGAGCUACUUCGAGACAGUCUUAAGAACGAACCCAUCUCUGUUGCAAAAGAGUGGGACGAUCUCCAAGUAGAGGCAAUAAACCUAUCGCACUUAGAGAUAGCUGGUUACUCAAGAAAAGAAUCUAAGUUCAACCUAAAGUUUCUAGAUUACACAAAAACAAAACUUUAGAGCUAUUCAAAUAAGGCACAGCUUAUUUGAAACAGGAUCCAACCUAUAACACAGGGUAAUUAUAUUAAACAAGUAACAAGUGGGCCUAAAAGCAGCCACCUACAAAAAGCGUUAAAGCUUAAUACUUAUUUUCACUAAUAUCACCACCAUUACAGAACCCUUCACCAAUAUUGAGUGACUCCAUAAACUUAUGGAAGCCAUUAUGCUAGAACUAGUAACAAGAAACAGAUUUUCUCCUAAAUGUAAGCCUAAGCCACAAUAGACAAACUACCGGCAAUUAACGUAUAUGAAAAUAUUAUAACAAAUUUAACAAGAAAACCCUAUAAACACACACGUCAACCUUACACCUGAACAUUAAAGGAAAGAUUAAAAGAAAAAGAAGGAACUCGGCAAACCAUAACCCCGCCUGUUUACCAAAAACAUCGCCUCUUGAUUAACAUAAGAGGUCCAGCCUGCCCAGUGACAAAAUUCAACGGCCACGGUAUCCUAACCGUGCGAAGGUAGCAUAAUCACUUGUUCUUUAAAUGGGGACUAGUAUCAACGGCAUCACGAGGGUUACACUGUCUCCUUUUUCUAAUCAGUGAAACUAAUCUCCCCGUGAAGAAGCGGGGAUACUCCUAUAAGACGAGAAGACCCCAUGGAGCUUUAAACCCAACUACACCCCCAACUUUUAAAGCCACUAAACCCCAGGGGCCCUGUUACGUUGGUUUUAGGUUGGGGCGACCACGGAGUACAAUAAAACCUCCAUAAUGAACAGAACUAUUCCUUUAUCCAAGAGCUACACCUCUAAGAAUUGAUAUAUCAACAUAAUAUGAUCCAUUUUUUGAUCAAUGAACCAAGUUACCCUGGGGAUAACAGCGCAAUCCAUUUCAAGAGCCCCUAUCGACAAAUGGGUUUACGACCUCGAUGUUGGAUCAGGGUAUCCCAGUGGUGCAGCAGCUACUAAUGGUUUGUUUGUUCAACAAUUAAAACCCUACGUGAUCUGAGUUCAGACCGGAGCAAUCCAGGUCGGUUUCUAUCUAUAAAAAGCUGCUCCUAGUACGAAAGGACCGAAACAGCGCAGCCAAUGUUACAACAAGCUGUCUUUUAUUACCUAUGAAUUCCACUCAAUUAGACAAAUUUAUUAUCCCCACCCUAUAUCAGGGUAU